AGAAGGGAUAGAAGAGAGAUCAGAAGACAGAGGAAGACGUUUGCCUGGGACACUCUCAUGAGGGUUGGGAGUAUUAUCUUUGGAGCGGCUGGGAGGAUUAUCUUCAGAUCGGUUUGGUGGAUUAUCUUCAGAGCGGCUGGGAGGAUUAUCUUCAGAGUGCCUGGAAUAUUUUUGGAGCCUUUUGAGGAUUAUCUUUAGAGCACCUGGGAGGAUUAACUUCAAAGCUUCUGGGAGGAUUAUCUUCAGGUUGGAUGGGAGGAUUUUCUUUGUUGUGAUUGAGCGGAUGAUCUUCAUAUGGAUUGAGUGAAUUAUCCGCAGUGCAGAUGGGAGGAUUAUUUCCAGAGCGGUUGUGUGGAUUAUCUUCAUAGCGGCUGGGAGGAUUAUCUUCAGAGUGGCUGUAGAGUACCUGAAAUGACAGACCAUGUGGAGGGGGU
Molecule: long non-coding RNA, 434 nt
Organism: Xenopus laevis (African clawed frog)
Lineage: Eukaryota; Metazoa; Chordata; Amphibia; Anura; Pipidae
Exons: 3
Source: RefSeq, a predicted model, not a curated record